RNAcentral lists this ribosomal RNA (754 nucleotides) under uncultured bacterium. RNAcentral describes it as "bacterial SSU rRNA". It matches the Rfam family "Bacterial small subunit ribosomal RNA", at positions 68 to 796 of the family's 1533-position model. The record is from RNAcentral.
GAGACUUUUUAUUUGAUGCUUGCAUCUUUUAAAAAGUUGAGUGCCGUACGGGUGAGUAACACGUGGGUAACCUGCCUUAAAGUGGGGGAUAACACUUGGAAACAGGUGCUAAUACCGCAUAACCAUCAAAACCGCCUGGUUUUGAUGUUAAAGAUGGUUCUGCUAUCGCUUUAAGAUGGACCCGCGGCGUAUUAGCUAGUUGGUGAGGUAAUGGCUUACCAAGGCAAUGAUACGUAGCCGAACUGAGAGGUUGAUCGGCCACAUUGGGACUGAGACACGGCCCAAACUCCUACGGGAGGCAGCAGUAGGGAAUCUUCCACAAUGGACGAAAGUCUGAUGGAGCAACGCCGCGUGAGUGAAGAAGGUUUUCGGAUCGUAAAACUCUGUUGUCAGAGAAGAACGUGUGUGAGAGUAACUGUUCACGCAGUGACGGUAUCUGACCAGAAAGUCACGGCUAACUACGUGCCAGCAGCCGCGGUAAUACGUAGGUGGCAAGCGUUGUCCGGAUUUAUUGGGCGUAAAGGGAACGCAGGCGGUCUUUUAAGUCUGAUGUGAAAGCCUUCGGCUUAACCGAAGUCGGGCAUUGGAAACUGGGAGACUUGAGUGCAGAAGAGGAGAGUGGAACUCCAUGUGUAGCGGUGAAAUGCGUAGAUAUAUGGAAGAACACCAGUGGCGAAAGCGGCUCUCUGGUCUGUAACUGACGCUGAGGUUCGAAAGCGUGGGUAGCAAACAGGAUUAGAUACCCUGGUAGUCC